CUCGCGUCUUCUUGGAAAGAUAAUCAGUAGCAGUGCUGAUUUUCUUUUUAAAAUUAUCAAUGUCAUUUUCAACAGCUGGUGACAAACCAACUCCAAUCACAAUCUGCUCAGCCGAAUCAAAAUAUCUCGACACAUUCCUGAGGUUUUCAGCGGUGAAUUCCGCCUGACUCACAACGUAAUCCAGUGUGUUUGAAGUCGUUCCAUCAAACUUCCCCUGACUAAUGUACAAGACAAUGCAUCCAGCUCUAAAAGAUUUUCUUUUUAACAUUAUCAAUGUCAUUUUCAACAGCUGGUGACAAACCAACUCCAAUCACAAUCUGCUCAGCCGAAUCAAAAUAUCUCGACACAUUCCUGAGGUUUUCAGCGGUGAAUUCCGCCUGACUCACAACGUAAUCCAGUGUGUUUGAAGUCGUUCCAUCAAACUUCCCCUGACUAAUGUACAAGACAAUGCAUCCAGCU
RNAcentral lists this long non-coding RNA (459 nucleotides) under Lotus japonicus. Its description in RNAcentral is "long non-coding RNA (LJAP_LNC001861)". Lineage: Eukaryota; Viridiplantae; Streptophyta; Magnoliopsida; Fabales; Fabaceae. The record is from RNAcentral.